RNAcentral lists this long non-coding RNA (519 nucleotides) under Homo sapiens (human). RNAcentral describes it as "non-protein coding lnc-PAXIP1-3:1". The record is from RNAcentral. Lineage: Eukaryota; Metazoa; Chordata; Mammalia; Primates; Hominidae.
AUGGGGGUCCUAUGCCAGUGGGGGAAGAGGGUCUGGCUCUCAGUCCCCGCCUCGUGGGGGGUGCCUCCCCACUCUGUGAUGUGGGUCCUAAGAGCCAGUGGGGGAACAGGGGCUGGCUCUCAGUCCCUGCCUCAUGGGGGGUGCGUCCCCCCCCCCUGCGAUGGGGGUACUAACAGCCAGGGGCGGAAGAGGGGGUGGGUCCUAAGUCCCUGCCUCGCGGGGGGUGCCUCCCCCUCCUGCGAUGGGGGUCCUAAGAGCCAGGGGGGGAAGAGGGAUUGCCUCUCAGUCCCUGCCUCGCGGGGGGUGCCUCCGCCCCCUGCGAUGGGGGUAUUAACAGCCAGGGGCGGAAGAGGGGAUAGCUCUCAGUCCCCACCCUCGUGGGGGGUGCCACACCCUCCUGCGAUGGGGUUCCUAAGAGCCAGAGGGGGAAGAGGGACUGGCUCUCAGUCCCCGCCUCGUGGGGGGUGCCUCCCCACCUGCGAUGGGGGUACUAACAGCCAGGGGCGGAAGAGGGGAUAG